Molecule: ribosomal RNA, 301 nt
Filed under: uncultured bacterium
Lineage: Bacteria
Description: partial 16S ribosomal RNA
Rfam family: Bacterial small subunit ribosomal RNA
Source: RNAcentral
CAGUCGCCACGGUAAUACGGAGGGUGCAAGCGUUACUCGGAAUCACUGGGCGUAAAGGACGCGUAGGCGGGUCUUUAAGUCAGGCGUGAAAUCCUGGAGCUCAACUCCAGAACUGCCUUUGAUACUGAAGAUCUUGAGUUCGGGAGAGGUGAGUGGAACUGCGAGUGUAGAGGUGAAAUUCGUAGAUAUUCGCAAGAACACCAGUGGCGAAGGCGGCUCACUGGCCCGAUACUGACGCUGAGGCACGAAAGCGUGGGGAGCAAACAGGAUUAGAUACCCCUGUAGUCCCUGUCUCUUAUAC